RNAcentral lists this unclassified non-coding RNA (286 nucleotides) under Hevea brasiliensis (rubber tree). Lineage: Eukaryota; Viridiplantae; Streptophyta; Magnoliopsida; Malpighiales; Euphorbiaceae. The record is from RNAcentral.
CUGGCUCUCAAACAACAUUGCAAACAAGGGUUGAACACGAGAUCCAUGAUUUUUGCAGCUAUAUUUUUGUCAAUAUAGACUUCAAACAAUGUCUAGAGCACUUGUGCACCUGCUGAAUGGAUCCACUUAUCACUAUUUUUUAUUUCAGUACAUUUUCAUUUCUUUAAAAGAAUGUUACUUUACAGUAACUUUAGUUGAAUUCAUGUAAUAUUUUACAUUCUGGGUUUACAUAUUCUCAAUGACUCUGCUUUUGGCAUUUUGUUUUAAUUAAGACUUGAUGUUCUCG